RNAcentral lists this ribosomal RNA (580 nucleotides) under Diaporthe chimonanthi. Its description in RNAcentral is "eukaryotic LSU rRNA". The stretch from base 211 to 364 matches the Rfam family "5.8S ribosomal RNA". Lineage: Eukaryota; Fungi; Ascomycota; Sordariomycetes; Diaporthales; Diaporthaceae. The record is from RNAcentral.
AGAAGAGAGGGAGCGAUGUUCCGGCGGAGGACAUUGCUGGACGCGCUUCGGCGCACCCAGAAACCCUUUGUGAACUUAUACCUACUGUUGCCUCGGCGUCAGGCCGGCCUCUUCACUGAGGCCCCCCGGAGACGGGGAGCAGCCCGCCGGCGGCCAACUAAACUCUUGUUUCUAUAGUGAAUCUCUGAGUAAAAAACAUAAAUGAAUCAGAACUUUCAACAACGGAUCUCUUGGUUCUGGCAUCGAUGAAGAACGCAGCGAAAUGCGAUAAGUAAUGUGAAUUGCAGAAUUCAGUGAAUCAUCGAAUCUUUGAACGCACAUUGCGCCCCCUGGUAUUCCGGGGGGCAUGCCUGUUCGAGCGUCAUUUCAACCCUCACGCCUGGCUUGGUGAUGGGGCACUGCUUCGAGAGGAGCAGGCCCUGAAAUUCAGUGGCGAGCUCGCCAGGACCCCGAGCGUAGUAGUUAUAUCUCGCUGUGGAAGGUCCUGGCGGUGCCCUGCCGUUAAACCCCAGCUUCUGAAAAUUUGACCUCGGAUCAUGUAGGAGUACCCGCUGAACUCACACAUAUCAUAGCCCGUCAA